CACUUUCAUUGUGCACUCGGGGUGCAUAAACUAUAUUUUGAUUUCGCGGCUCCUCUCCGGAAACCACCGACCACCACUUGUCCUCCUCGCCCUCCUCACUCUCCCUCGCAUUGCUGCUCCAUCACCAGAGCUGGCAUCCACCCCGUCCUUGGUCUCACUUUCUCUCUUCUGUAGGUGAGGUCUACAAACAGGGGCUUUGUCGCUGAUACUCUCGGGUCUCCAUCGGCUGCUUCUUCCUUGCCGGAGUUUCGGGCUGCUUCUCUCACUUUCGCCUCACCAAACCCCGCCGUUGCCAGCCGAGGAUUUAACGGUCAAAGUGGUGCUGAUUUUGUAUGUGAGGAUGGUCAAUAAUAGUUGGGAAAUCAUUCAUAUUCCAGGCAAGCCACCUUUCUCACCCACCCAACAACCUACAGUCGACGUCUUUGCAUCAAUUGUUGAUCCAAAACAUGCAAACACUUUAAUCAGGAAAUUAAAUAAAAUUGCCCCAUUUGAAAAUCUUCGGCAUGUGAAGCGAGUGCGUAAGAGUUGUUCCAAUGGGAAAGCUGAAUUGUCCAUGAUUUUAUGUCUAACGGGUGAAGAUGGCACCGAGCUGGGUAGCAUGCCCAUGGACUUGCUAGAGCUCACCAAUUGCUAUCAGUUGAGUCCCUUUGUAACUCAAGUUUGCAAAUAUGCUGCGACAACGAAAGAAGAGUGGGAAGAACAGUGCAAAUUGUGGCCUACAUCAUUUCAUCCUCCAACAUACAAUAUCGAGGGCAUUACUGGCUUUAGUGAAGAAAACUCAACUAGGAUUUUCAACUAUAUGAAUUUUGCGCUUAAGUUGGCAAAAUCUGCUGGCGAUCAGUUUGUUAAUGCUGCGGUUAUUGUGGACCCAUCCUUAAACAAAAUAAUUACUAGUGCAUGUGAUGAAAUCUCUUCGUGGAACAUGCAUCUUGAUGGCCAUGAAUCACACUCGCUAGACGUGGUUGAAGCCACAACAUCUCAUGAUGAUGCCAAUGGAUGUGCGUUAUUGAAGUCUAAUUUGAAUGGCUCUUUUAAUGUUCCCAAGUCAUCAUCCAGCAGAAUUUCUUGUUUGAACCCGUGGCAGUGGUCUCAUCAACAUCUGUCAUCAUCAAGUUCUUGCUUUUGGCACCCGUUGCGACAUGCUGCUAUGGUUGCAAUUGAAUACGCUGCUGCUAGGGAUAGACGUCUGUUCCCAACUAUGGAAGAAUCUGAUGAGAAAUACGUUCCAUUGGAUCCCAAUGUGACUUCAGCUUCAGCUGUAGGAUUGCCGGCCAAGCGACAGAAGACAAAGUUAGCCAAUGUGAAGAAUGGUGAUGAUAUUUCAGCUGAUGGUUUUCUUUCCAAAUCAGAGAGACCUUAUCUGUGUACUGGUUGUGAUAUUUAUCUUGCUUGGGAACCAUGUGCAAUGUGUGCGAUGGCUCUUGUUCAUCAAAGAAUAAAGCGUAUAUUCUAUGCUUUUCCAAAUCCACAUACGGGUGCUUUGGGCACUGUAUACAGACUACAGGGUGAGAAAAGCUUGAAUCAUCACUAUGCAGUUUUCCAAGUUAUACUGCAUAAUGAAGCUCUUGCAAGUGUUGAAGAAUCAAUAACAGUAGAGAAAGGUGAAUAGUGAAAACGGGGAAACACUUGCAUGUGAUUGAUCAAAUAGACAUGUCCGUGGUCCAACAUUGACGUCUUUAGGUAUGCAAGUUAAAUGCUUUCAUCUAACAGAUCUUGCCUCAAGGAAAGGAGCGAGAGAAAUAGGAGCUGCAGUUAACCUCCUUAGACGCUUGUGCUCUUCGAAGGGGAUCGAUAUGAAGGAUUUCUUACCGAUCAACUCAACCGUUGAGCGCGGCCAACCCGGCCUGAAAUGUUCAUCAUCGUUUAAGACUUUUCUGCAUGUUUCAGGUGUUGUCACCAUUACACUUGGAUUCCCAAACAUGAACGCUUUGUAAAUUCCUGUUUUGCCAAAUCUGACCAAUAACCAAAUAUAUACAU
Spinacia oleracea (spinach) is the source of this 1977-nucleotide RNA transcript. It is a transcript of the gene named tRNA-specific adenosine deaminase TAD3, with no coding region annotated. NCBI's taxonomy places the organism in Eukaryota, Viridiplantae, Streptophyta, Magnoliopsida, Caryophyllales, Amaranthaceae. The record is from RefSeq and is a predicted model, not a curated record. The transcript has 11 exons.